Molecule: non-coding RNA, 834 nt
Filed under: Trichomonas vaginalis G3
Lineage: Eukaryota; Parabasalia; Trichomonadida; Trichomonadidae
Description: Eukaryotic small subunit ribosomal RNA
Rfam family: Eukaryotic small subunit ribosomal RNA
Source: Rfam by way of RNAcentral
GAAGCUGAGGCGAAGGCGUCUACCUAGAGGGUUUCUGUCGAUCAAGGGCGAGAGUAGGAGUAUCCAACAGGAUUAGAGACCCUGGUAGUUCCUACCUUAAACGAUGCCGACAGGAGUUUGUCAUUUGUUAAUGGCAGAAUCUUUGGAGAAAUCAUAGUUCUUGGGCUCUGGGGGAACUACGACCGCAAGGCUGAAACUUGAAGGAAUUGACGGAAGGGCACACCAGGGGUGGAGCCUGUGGCUUAAUUUGAAUCAACACGGGGAAACUUACCAGGACCAGAUGUUUUUUAUGACUGACAGGCUUCGGGUCUUUCAGGAUAUUGUUUUUGGUGGUGCAUGGCCGUUGGUGGUGCGUGGGUUGACCUGUCUAGCGUUGAUUCAGCUAACGAGCGAGAUUAUCGCCAAUUAUUUACUUUGCCGAAGUCCUUCGGUUAAAGUUCUAAUUGGGACUCCCUGCGAUUUUAGCAGGUGGAAGAGGGUAGCAAUAACAGGUCCGUGAUGCCCUUUAGAUGCUCUGGGCUGCACGCGUGCUACAAUGUUAGGAUCAAUAGGACUGCGAGCCUGAGAGGGUGCGCUACUCUUAUAAUCCCUAACGUAGUUGGGAUUGACGUUUGUAAUCAGCGUCAUGAACCAGGAAUCCCUUGUAAAUGUGUGUCAACAACGCACGUUGAAUACGUCCCUGCCCUUUGUACACACCGCCCGUCGCUCCUACCGAUUGGAUGACUCGGUGAAAUCACCGGAUGCUUACGAGCAGAAAGUGAUUAAAUCACGUUAUCUAGAGGAAGGAGAAGUCGUAACAAGGUAACGGUAGGUGAACCUGCCGUUGGAUCAGUU